RNAcentral lists this ribosomal RNA (305 nucleotides) under uncultured bacterium. Its description in RNAcentral is "bacterial SSU rRNA". It matches the Rfam family "Bacterial small subunit ribosomal RNA", at positions 338 to 640 of the family's 1533-position model. The record is from RNAcentral.
CCUACGGAACGCAGCAGUGAGGAAUAUUGGUCAAUGGGCGGAAGCCUGAACCAGCCAAGUAGCGUGAGGGAAUAAGGCCCUACGGGUCGUAAACCUCUUUUGCCGGGGAGCAAGGGCCGGGACGCGUCCCGGCCCGGAGAGUACCCGGAGAAAAAGCAUCGGCUAACUUCGUGCCAGCAGCCGCGGUAAUAAGGAGGAUGCGAGCGUUAUCCGGAUUUAUUGGGUUUAAAGGGUGCGUAGGCGGGCUUUUAAGUCAGCGGUAAAAAUUCGGGCCUCAACCCCGUCCGGCCGUUGAAACUGGGGGG